RNAcentral lists this ribosomal RNA (253 nucleotides) under uncultured bacterium. RNAcentral describes it as "partial 16S ribosomal RNA". It matches the Rfam family "Bacterial small subunit ribosomal RNA", at positions 524 to 776 of the family's 1533-position model. The record is from RNAcentral.
UACGUAGGUGGCGAGCGUUGUCCGGAUUUACUGGGCGUAAAGGGCGUGCAGGCGGUUUGUUAAGUGCAGGGUGAAAGCUCCCGGCUCAACUGGGAGAGGUCCUUGCAUACUGGCGAACUCGAGGGAGGCAGAGGAAAGUGGAAUUCCCGGUGUAGUGGUGAUAUGCGUAGAGAUCGGGAGGAACACCUGUGGCGAAGGCGGCCCCCUGGGCCGGCCCUGACACUGAGACGCGAAGGCGUGGGGAGCGAACGGG